RNAcentral lists this long non-coding RNA (11990 nucleotides) under Populus trichocarpa (black cottonwood). RNAcentral's name for it is "long non-coding RNA (PTRI_LNC003509)". Lineage: Eukaryota; Viridiplantae; Streptophyta; Magnoliopsida; Malpighiales; Salicaceae. The record is from RNAcentral.
CACCUUGGUGGCCCGGACACAAUCACUGCAUACUCGAUUGAAGAUAACGAGUUGUGGUUAAGGCAUUUACUUGGUCUUGUAGUCCAAGUCGGAGUGGCUUUUUAUGUCUUCUCAAAGUCUUGGCCUAGCGGUAUUCUCGCAUUCAUAGCGAUCCCAAUGUUCAUUGUUGGCAUUGUAAAAUACGCAGAGAGGACUUGGGUGCUCUGGUCUUCAUGCUCCAAGAGUCUGAAAAACUCUUCUAUCUACGAUUUUUCGGGUUCUUAUAAUCGUUCAAGAAUAUCAAAAACUCCUCCACAAGACCUCCAGGAAAAUUGUCUUCUUCAAGCUUAUGUUUUUUCUUAUAUAUCCAAGUUAGUGAUGCAGGAUCUUGUCCCUGACAUUCCUUCACUAAUAAGAAGCAGGGAGCUGAUUUCAAAAAAUGAAGCAGACGGUGCCUUCAAGGUGGUAGAGGUUGAGCUUGGAUUGAUAUAUGAUAUGCUUUACACUAAAGCGCCUCUGAUUUACUCCCGUGCCGGAAUCAUUCUUCGCUGUAUCAGCUCUCUGCUCUCUGUUACUGCGUUUAUUACCUUCCAGGUCAUGAUAGACAAGCAUGACUACUCAACGGCCGACAUUGCAGUGACGUAUUUAUUGUUUGCGGCCGCAGUUUUUCUCGAGUUCUAUGCUUUUUUAUGCCUUGUUUUGUCUGACUGGACAAUGAUUUGGUUGAUUGAUAAAGGAGGGAACGGCCUGACUAGUGCAACUUAUUCUCAGCUAAGGAAGUUAACUAGAAGCGAGAGGUGGUCGAGAUCCAUAUCACAGUAUAACCUGAUAAGCUCUUCCUUUGAAAGCGAGCCACCUAAAUGCUUGGAAUUGCUGGGAAUCGAUGAAAUGAUGAGGCAAAUGCAUGUGAAUCGGAAAGAUUUGAAUGUUGGACUACAAGGUCUUAUUUUCGGACAUCUUCUAAAGAAAGCUGAGAAGAUUAAGGAGGAUUUGAAUGUCUGUGAUAAAAAUGUCAGAAGUAAAAUAAUUGGUCAGAGGGGAGAUGGUGUGCUAGAAAGAGAGGGAGUGUUACGGGACUUCAAGUGGUGCACGACUGAAGUAGAAUUCAGUCGGAGCAUUCUUGUCUGGCAUCUCGCAACAGAGAUUUGUUAUCGUGCUGAUAAAGAUGAAAGCAAUGUCUCCAAAGAAUAUGAAACAAGCAGAUCCCUAUCUGAAUACAUGAUGUAUCUUUUGGUGAUGAGACCAAAUAUGCUCUCUAAAGGAUUCGGUGAUGAGGGAUAUCUAGAAACCUUGCGAGAAUUGCGGGGUCUAAAAGAUCGUGGUCCUGGUGAUGAGGGAUAUCAGCGUAUCUUGCGAGAAUUGCGCAACAGUGAAUCACCAGGAUGGAAUCGUUAUGAUGAUGGAUUGUUUCAACGUUACUGGAAAACAGAAAAGCCAGUGACACGUGGUGUAUAUGUGCUCGCCAGGCAAUUGCUUUUAUUGGAAUCCAAGAAGCGAUGGGAGACGAUAAAUGAAGUUUGGGUAGAAAUGGUUGCAUAUGCAGCAGCUCAGUGUCCAUGGAAAGAACAUACUCAACAACUGAGAAGAGGUGGAGAGUUACUCACUCAUGUCUCCCUUCUCAUGCUACAUCUUGGCUUGAGCGAACAGUACGAAUAUAAAAGAUUAGGCGAGCUCAUUUCUUAUUUGAAAGAGGUAAGUAUACCAAAAAUCCUUCUCAAGUACCUCGAUAGAUAGAUAAUGCAUUUUUUUAGGCGUCAGAAUAAAAUAACAAAUCAGAUUAUUUCAAUUUAUAUAUGUUUGUUUAAUUCAUUAUUUUGGAAAUUCCAUUUGAAUGUUUUCAUUUCUUUUUCUUCAUUUUAUUAAUAAAGUGAUUUUAAUUGGAUGUCAUUUAAUUUAAAACGGUUGGAUGAUGGUUAAUAUUAGAUAUUUGCUUUUGUUGAUGCCUUUGUGUUUAAGAAAAAUUUGAAAUAAAUGAUUAAUAUUAGAUAUUUGCUUUUAUUAACUGAUAACUACUCCAAUUUCUAACAAUAAAUUGAUUGAUUUUUCGCCGUAAUCUUCAACAAAAACAAAAAGGAGGAGAAAGAAGAAUAUUUCAACGCUAGAGACAAAUAUAUGGAAGGUGCAGCCAUGUCAGGGUCGAAUCUUGGUGAGGUAUGUUCCACUUUCAUCUCAAUACUUUAAAACCUUCCAAUUUACCCUAUAGUUUUUUUAAAUAGUUUCCAUUUUUUUUGUUUUUUUAAAUAACUAUCAAAACUUUCAAUUUUCCUUACAUUUCUCUUUUACUACCUCUCAUAUACCCACUCUCAUAUACCCAUAGAUGUUAUUAUUUGCAUAAAAACACUUAAAAACAUUUCCAAAAAAACAUAUAUUCAAAAACCAAUUUUAAACAGUAAGCUUUUUAACGAUUAGGGUAACAUUGGUAAUUUUAAAAACUAGAGGGAUAAUAUUAAAAACGUUUAAGCUAUAUGAGUAUAAGCAUAACAUUAAUUAAUCUAUAGAUACAAAAAUAAAAUUUACCAGAUAAUAUUUUGUAUAUCAUAUAUGUUAUUCAAUAUAUUCAUUACAGGCACCGUGCUUGCAGAUGACAAUAAAUUACCAUCGAAUCUAAUUUUAGUUUUCCAUACUUAUCUUUAUUGGAUAAAGAUUUUUACAGAUUUGAAUAAUCAAACCUUAAAUAUCAUCAAGAUUAUAGAUCUAAAGAUGAAAUUAAAAUUUAAUAAAAAGACGAGGGAUCAAAAUUAAAAAUCAAAACAUUGAUGGUCAAAACUUAAAUAUCAUUAAAUAUCGAAUUGAAGGUCAUAAUUAAAAGGAAAAAUUAAAUUCAUAAAAGAAUUAAAAAAAUAAAAGAAUACCAAUUUCAAAUGAACUUAAUGAUGAUGGAUGAGAUUUUGUUUUUAAAUGUCUGAAGCCAACCGGGUCCAACUAUAAAAACUAGUGACAUGGAUCAUGAGGCCGUAUCACAACAUAAAAGGCAAAUUAAAAAAAAUAACAAUGCAAAAUCCCCAACCAACCAAAAUAAUUAGAGAUAAACUUGAAAAAACAAAUUAAAAAAAGAAGUGGUUUAAAAAAUAUUGAUUUGAAAAAAAAGAGAACUAAAUUUGACACAAAAAGAAAAUAAAAGCAAAUUAUAAGGGAUGAAAUUGAAAAACAAUUUCAAUAAAAAAAUGAUAAGAACAACUAAAAAUAACAAUCAAAAUAGUAGGGACUAUAUUUGAUACAAAAAUAAAAUGUCAAGGGAUGCAAUUCAAAGACAAAUUAAUUCAAUCAAGGAUUCAAGAUCAAACACACCAUAAUUAAAAGAAAUACCAAAUCCAAUACAAAAAAUCAAGUAUAAAGGGAUGAAAUAAAAAAAAAAUAACUCAAUAAAUGAUUCAAGACCAAAUACAUUGCAAUUAAAAGAAUGAUAACCAAAUCUUAUAUAAAAAUAAAGUGUCAAGGAAUAAAAUUAAAAAAAAAUUUGCUCAAUAAAUAGUUAAAGAUCAAAUACAUUGUAAUCAAAAGAAUGAAAACAUAAUUUAACUUAACAAAUAAAUAGCCAUACUUUUUUCUUCUUUUAUUUUUGCAAUGGUUAGCAUGGUUUUGUAGGAGGAGAGAGAAGAGAGGGAGGGAGGGAAAAACUCACGGCCGGUGCUCCUCCGCAUCACGGCCACGAACACGCACCUCACUUACAUGAUGGGGAUGAUAAGGUGCAUCGAACACCUCCCUGAAAAGCAGAAUUGAGUGCAAUUUGGGCGCCACAUGCACCUCUCAAAGAGUGUCGGCAGCGCCCACUUGUUAGCUCGUCUGAAGCAUACAUAAACUACCUCUAAAUUUAAAUAAUAAUUUAUGCAUGUUAAAAUACUCAAACACCCUUGACUCUACUUAAGAAUUACAACAAAACCAUAUCAAAAAAGAUAAAAAGAUAAAAACACCCUCACUAAUUUUUUUUAAUUUUUUCAAAGUCAUAUGGUUAUGUUGUAAUUUUACUGUUAAAAAAAUAAAAAAUAAAAGACUGAGAAGCCCCUCUGCCAAUGUUAUAGGAUAUGAAUGUAAACACAUUGUUUUUGUUUUGCAAAAGACAAAAGAGCUCUUUUUCCGAAGCAUAAUUUUUCUUGUUUUUAAAUGCAUAUCAGUUAUGACACUGCAGCAAAACAAACAUGUCCGGAUCAUUUCGUCCUUAAUAAAUUUUAUAAUGAUUCCUCUAAUUACAAUUACAAGUAUAACCAUUUUUUUAAUAAAGGUAAAAGAGUAAAAACAAUGUGUCUUGAAGCAUAAUGAAUCACUGGUAUCUUUUUAGUAUUUUUUUGUAAUAUUAUCCUACGAGAUUUUCUCCCUUUUUAUUUCAAAUGAAAGGACAAAUUGAAGACUAGUCAAUUUUCCAUGCUUUAUACUUUGCCACUCUUUCUCUUCCGCUAAAUUCAAUGUCCAAGGUCUUUAAUAGUCUGUCGACUAACUAAUAAUCUGAAUAUUAUAAGCUAUUUUUUAUGCCAUAAGAUUCACGUUGUGCUGUUUUAUUUUUAGAAAUACCUUACGCACAUUUUCUUUAUCCAGUGUUGCAUCAGUUUUUACACCGCACAUUCUUUUAUUUAAACCUUGUUUAUUUUUAUAUUUUAAAAGUAUUUUAAAAAAAAUAAAAAAAUUUUAUUUCAAAUAUUUUUAGAUUAUUUUGAUAUGCUGAUGUUAAAAAUAAUUUUUAAAAAAUAAAAAAAAUAUUAUUUUAAUAUAUUUUUCAAUAAAAAAAUAUUUUAAAAAAUAAUUAUUAUAACAUUUUCAAACACCACUAACAAGGUUGCAUUUAAUUUGCUUACUUCGAAGUUCGAACAUCAUGCAUGCAUAUAAAACAAGAUUGUAAGUGGCAAGUUUUAAUCAAUUAAUAUCAGGAACCUCUAUAUUUAUUGAAACGAAAAAUUAAAUUGAAAUUCAUGAGACUCCUGAUUUCUAUUUUUAAAUAAGAAUAAUUUGCAUUGAUGAAUCAAAAAAUUAUUAAUUACUCAUGUCGAGUUAACAAUUUUGCUAUUUUGAAGGAGUUGGAAGAACUUAAAAAGAUUGUAGCAGAUACAAAGCGAGAGCUUGAGCAACUGAGAUCUUCUUUAACUGCAUCAACUCCACAACAAGGAAUUGAUUCAUUUCCAAGGAGUUUGCCAGCACAAACUGAUGGUCAAGGGAUUGGUCAACCACCAUCAAAUAAUGAUAUCAGUUUAAGCAUGGAAUAAAAAGUAGUAGCUUUUAUUAUGCUUUGUCCAUAAUUAUUUAAGUGAAUAAACUUAAAUAAGUUCCUACUAGUAACAGUACUAUUGGGCUUCAUUUUGCAUGCAUGUAUUGAAAAAAUUACGAAGUUUCUAUGAGUUCACAAAAUUAUGAUAUUUAAUAUAUCAAUUUAAGAACAUGUAAACAACGAUCAAUUUGUUCUUAAGUACUGGUUGCUGGCAUGAGUCGUCAACAGAGGAUUUUUUGAGAGAUUAUAGGAUUUUUUUGGAGAAUAGAGAAUGCAGUUGUGAAGGGAUGACUAUUAAUUCAAUGGAUGCAAAGUAACUGCAUCAUAUUUUCAACGGCGAAAGCCGAAUGGGAUGCUAUCGCUGCAAUAUAUUUUGAUGGCGCUGACAUCUCACAAGCUUAUGAUCUAAAAAAGAACAUAAUGAGACUUAAAACAAGUUUGGAGGAUAAACAUACUACAACAAUUUUCAAUGUCUAUGGAGAGAAAUUGAUUUUUGCCGCCGAAAUCCAAUGAAAUGUGAGGUUGAUUUACAAAGAUAUAAUUCUAUUUUACAGUAGUAUAGAGUUUACACAUUCUUAGAUGAACUAGAUAAUCCUCUUGACAAAAUUAAUACAGUGACAUAUCUAUGUACAGGGGUAAAAGAAUGACACUUUCACCCUGUUUUUCACUGUACAACACUUUAUUAGUUCUAUCUCUUUAAAAUAAAUUAUUAUCUAUAGGCCUAGCUCUGAGAAAUUGAUGUGCCUGUAUGUUUCAUAAUAUUUUCAAAUAAAGUGUUUUUAUUAUUAUUAACAUGGGUAUCUAGCUAGCUUCCGCGCACCUCGACUAAUCUCACGGGCCCUAAAGUUAACGACCAUGUAAACCUCCAGUGACCCUGAGAUUUGUGGGAUUCGAAUUAGUGAUCUCUGGAGAACAAACUCAAGAUCUGACCAAUUAAGCUACACCCUUCAGAGUUAAAUAAAGUGCUCUUUUCUUUUUAGAUUAACGUGACUGUCCGGGUUAGCUUGCACGCACCUCGACUAAUCCCACAGGUCUUAAAGUUAACGAUCGUAUAAACUUCUAAUAGCUCUAAAAUUUAUUGUUUUCUAUAUAAUUUAUUGUUUUCUAUAUAUAUAUAUAUAUAUAUAUAUAUAUAUAAAGAAAAAGAAAUAUUGUGAUUAAUUCUUGUUAGGUGCUUAAGGAAAAAGGAACAUCAUAUUCCCAGAAAUGAAGUCAAAAGAUAUGACUCAUUACUGCACUGAUGUUCAGUGUUCCAACCUUAAAACAGAAAGCAAACUCUGUCUAUGAAGAAAAGAAAAUGCAAUUAAUUUAAAGUUUCUUCAUCCUUGUAAACUGCUUUCUAUAGUGCCAGGGAAGGAGUGGAAUACUCACCAGCAAAAAACAAAAUAAUAAUAAUAAUAAUAAUAAUAAUAAAAAGUGGAAGAGAAGAGAAGGGAAUGGCUAGUAAUUAAUUAUUUGCCAGCAGAGAUGGCUUGCGUAGACACUAGAUAGAGGAGGUAAAACACAGACCAGAAAUGAGCGACGAGCCGGCUGGCUGGGGCGGCUAUCCUUUUGGUUUGGUGCACGGUUUGGAAGAAAAACUGGUAUUUAUAUUUUUUUUAAGAGCUGGUUCAACCAGUUUGGUCUGGCUCAUUAGGUUUUAGAAUUUUAAAACCAAAACCAAACAGUAUUGGAUUUUUUUAGUUUUUUAAUUGAUUAAUUCGGUUUUUUUUCAGUUUCAUUUUUUAAUUAAAUUUUUUUAAUUUUCUCAAUUUAAUAAAUUUUUUAGUUUUAAUUCUCACCCCUAUCACUGGCGGCAAUGCUAAGUAAUCAUUAGUAUUGGAUGAAUUUUUAUAUAAAAAAAUCAUUUUACUAAGUGUCCAAAGUGUUUUUAGAUUUUUUUAUUUUAAAUUAAUAUUUUUUUAAUAUUUUUAAAUUAUUUUGUGGUGCUAUAUCAAAAAUAAAUUUUAAAAAAUAAAAAUUUUUAUUUCAAUAUAUUUUUAAAUAAAAAUAAUUUAAAAAUUAAUUAUUAUUAUUAUAAUCCAAAACAUGCUAUAAAUUGUUUACCGACUACUUUCACUGGCAGUAUUUUUGGGUAAGGUAUCAACAAAUAAAAAUGAUCGUAGAACAUGUCAUAUCAAGGGAAAAAAAAGAAAAGAAAAGAAAAGAAAAGGCUAUGCAUUAAAUUAUUACCUUCCUUCCUUCCUUCCUUUCUUCUUCUUCUCUUUUGUUUUUUAAUAUAAAACGACAAAUAGAUUAAACUAAGCAAAAGAAGGUGGCUUAUUAUGAUUAAAUAUUUUUUUAAAAGUAUUUUUUUAUUUAAAAAUAUAUUAAAAUAAUUUUUAAGAUUUUUUUAUGUUUGAUAUUAACAUAUCAAAAUAAUUAGAAAACAUUAAAAAAUCAUCAAUUUAAUAUUUUUUUAAACCAAAUAAACUCAAAUGCAAUUACAAAUACAAAAACAAACAUUAACUAAGACAAUGGCUAGAGAACAAACAAAACAAAGAGUAGUAAAAAAAGGAAAAUUAGAUGGAUUCAUGUGGUUUGGUAUUUUUUUUACAUUAUUUCUAUUAUUUUAUAUUUUAGGUUAGUUUUUUAGUCUAUUUAAAGGCAUUGUAAACCUUAGAAGAUUUUAUGAUGCUCAAGCUAUAACUAGUGGUAUUUUAUUAGUCACUCUAUGAGUUUUACUUUGAAAAAAAAGACAUAUACAAAAAGAAGAGAGAAAAUAAAAUUCAUGUCCCACCAAAAAUAAUAAGAACACCUAUAUAUAGGAUUUCUCUCUCUUAUUUUAUCUAUUUCUAUUUAAUAAUAGGUUUCAAAGAGUAACUCAUAGAAUAUCAGUAGUUAUAGAUUAAACACCAUAAAAUUUCUCAUAAGCCUCCUAGAGAGGCAAAAUUUGUUAGAUUAAUAUUUUAAAAAUAAAAAUAAAAUUUUAAGGUUCUUUUUGUUUUAACCCCAUUUCAUCAUAUUCAAGAUGAUUUUUUUCAAUAUUAAAAUGAUGACAUAUUUGAUCAACUGUGGCUUUGCGACUUAACCUGUCAAAUUCAUGGUUUGAGUUAAGAAAUCUACUAAGUCUAAGAACUUUGUUAUUUAAAACUACUUUUUACUUAAUUAUAUGAUAAUAAAAAUAAAUAAAUAAAAAUUAUAAAAUUAAGCACCAAUCAAAUAUCGUGAUGUUUGUUUGGGAUCAUGAUAAUAUGAUAUAAAGCAAACCAAAAGAAAUUAAAAAAGGCUUGUGUGUGGGCCUAUAAAAGUAGGCUUGUACAUGAUUAGUACUUAAAAGUGCAUUCUCAUUAAGGCUUUAUAUCAUUAUAUUGCACUUAAAGUAUCAUUAAAUUCCUUAUCUUAAGCAUGUUUUAUAAUAACAAGUCUGAUAAUAUAAGAUAGCUUUAAUUUAUGGUAAAUGUUCAUUUUAAAUACAGGCAUAUCUCACAAUUCAAAAGAUUGAUCGAUGUGAUUAACUAUUAAAAGUGAAAGGACAAAGAAAGGGCUAAGCAUAGAAAAGAAAUGUUGGUUCAAUUCAAAUUGGAAUAUCAUUCAGUCAUUGGGUCAUAUUUGGAGCUGUAGAUCUUGGCUUUCAGUUUGGUUUAUAUGGAUAGAAAGCUAAGAUAUAGGCCUAAAAUAUUUAUGAGAGUCCAAGACUCAAUUUGCCAUUUUGGAGUCCAAAUCUUAGCAUCAAAAGAGAAGUCUGAAUCUGUCCUGCAACCUAGACAUUGUUCAGUGUUCAGUCCAUAUCUCGAGUUCUAGAAGCUCAAAUGCGCUCAUUAUUCUUUUGGUGGAAAGAUGAGACAAAUUGCUACAACUUUAUUAAAGAUCACUUUAUCAAAUUCUGAUGUUAGCAAUGACAUUUCAUCCAGACAAGAGCUUGAGGGCUAUUCACCACGUCCACCAGAAGUACUACUCAGUAUUUUAGUCAUAUCUCGAUCUAUAGUGAUCCAAAUAACGUCAAAUUUAGCGGGUGGAAAGAUAAGACAAUUUAAAACAACUUUCAUGAAGAACACUUUGCUAAAUUCUGAUUGCAUCAAUGUCAUUUCAUCCAAUCCAAAUGCUUGAGUGCUGCUGUUCACUAAGUCCACUAAAUCAAUAGUUAGUCACUAUAUCAAUAAUCAAUUACCAAAUGAAUAGUUCUUUUAGCCUAUAAAAGAAGGCAUUUGCCAUUCAUUUAGACAUCUUGAUUUUCAGAUUAAGAUCAUUUUCUUGCUUUCUCUUUUUGUAAUGUUCAAGUUUUCUUUCAAGUUAUAUUAAUCUCUUGUUUAUACUUUUCAUUUCUUUUACUACUCUUAGUUAACUUAUAUCAUAAUUAUAUUCUUAUCUUGUUUAUUUAUGUUCUUCUCAUUCAUUAUGUCUAGCUAAGUUAAUUAUGUCAGGGUGAAGUUAGAAUAAGCAUAAUAUAAACUCAACACGGACUUCAAUGCUUAUAUCCAAGAAAGUUUGUUAUUAAUAUGUCUUAUCUUUUUAUCUUACUAAUUCUUAAUACCUUGCUUAUUAAAUGAUUAAUCUAGAUUUGUGUUAUAUAAUACUUGGUACAUCAAAUGUUUGAUCCUUCAUAGUCUUCGGCCGACAUCGUUGUUAUAAGAGGAACUUGAUUUGUUGUUAACAUAAGUUAGCAACAUGAAUGUCUGUUGAUAUUUAUAAGUAUGGUGUUACAAAAAUAAGAUAAUUAAUAUGAUCAUGUUAAUAAUUUAUAAUGAGUUUAUACUUUACUUAUUUCUAAUACCAUAAGUGGAUCUUCUAACCUUGACAUCUGUUUUUAUCAUUGUUUAAUCCUCACAUUAAUCUUACAUUUUAAAGAUCUCUUUAAUUUUUAAAUAAAAUAUAUAUAUUAUUUAUAUAGUUGAUCUCCAUGUGGUCCGACCUCGGUCUUGCCGGGUUAUUUAUUACUUUGAUACUCCUAUACUUGAGAUACGAUAUCAACUCUUUGAUCGUGUCAGUGCAUAUUCAAAAUCAAGCAAAUAUUGAAUUUUUUUAAAGAUAAAAAAGAGAGGGGGAGAGAGAAAGAAGGAAAAGACAAGGUAUUGUUGGGUCUCACAAGAGUGACCCAUUUGAUAAAGGCUUGUGUGUGGGCUUGCAAAGAUAGGCUCGUACAUUUGAAAAUAUAAAGGCAGACAACACGUCGUCUGAUUUUGCUUAGAUUUCGGGUAUUAUAGUGGCUAGAAAAUCAUAAUUGAAUUUUUUUUACCUAAAAAUCUUUUUUCAACCCAUUUUGUACCUAAAAAAUCUUGAAAACACCAUAGAACCCUGACAAACCAAUCAGUGACUUCAAAAAACCAAAAAACGAUCAUAAAACCUGAAAUCAACUCAAAACCAAAAAUAUUUUCAAGCUCAGAUUUAUUUCUUAGAUAAUUUCAAGGUAAAAAAACACCUAAGGUGAAUUUUCAUCACCAAAUAGAACUAUUUAGUACCAAGAUCUAUUGUUUUGAUGGUUAGAAUAUGUAUAAAUAAUAAUUUUCUCUCUCUAUCACUGAAAUCUGGCAACUUUCUCUCUCAUUUUAAUUAAUCUAGAAACUAAUAAAUAAAAAAAAUAAAAUUUUACACCAAAAUUGAUUUAAAAAAAAACGUAAAAAGUUAUAGGGUCCCAAUUAUUAUAAUUCAUAAAGAAUAAGGACUAAGUUGAAUAUUUCAUAAAAAUUUCAAAAACACCACCCAUCUCCUCCUCGUGUUUCACUUUAAAUCAUUUUUUUAAUUUUUUUUUCUUAACAAUUUUAGCUAAAUUAAUUUUAAAUUAGGUCCUUAAAGGGAAGAAUUAAAAAAAAAUGAAAACAAAAAAAAAUUCUUAGACACAGUAAAUUCGGUGCCACUUUAAUCAAUUGUUUUUUAAUUUUGUCUUUUCUAAACAUUUUUAGCUAAAUUAGCUUUAAAUUAGGUUGUUAAAGGGCAGAAUUAAAAAAAAAAAAAACACUUGGGCACAGUAAAUCCGGUUUACUUAAUUAAUAAGUAAAGGUCGUCACAUAUUCAAACCUUUGGGGAGUUUAGCGCUAAAACAUGAUAUUGAUAUUCAGAAUUCCUUCUUUUAAUUAAGAGUCCAAAAAGCUCUGUCUAUUGUCUAUCCAGAAAAGAAAAGGAGUGAAAACAACAACUGUAAAGUCUCUUUAUUACUGUUUAGCGUCUCUUCAUUCCUUCGUAUUCAAGCCAAGUACCAAAUUCUUACUUGUAUAUGUAACUAUGGUUUGCAAAAGCUGGCCAUGCAAGCUUUUCACUAUCCGUUUUCAGAUUUUUUUUAGAGAUAUCCACUUUCACUUUUCGUCUUACAGAACAGUUUCUUCAGGGUUCAUCGAGAGAAACUAGUUUCCACUGCUGAGGAAAACAUACAAUGCUUAAGCAAUUCCCUGAAGAAGUCUUAAAUUUGUGGAACAAUUGGGAGAUUCGAGGAAUGGUUUUGCUUAGUCUCUUACUACAAACCAUCCUCAUCGUAUUUGGUUCUCGACGUAAGACCAUUGCCAGAAACUGGAUCAGGAUUCUCGUUUGGUCUGCAUACCUAUCAGCAGACAUGGUGGCAACUGUUGCCCUGGGUAAUCUAGCCAAGAGCCAAGGAGAUUCAUCAGGUGACGGUUCUAAAAAAGCAAACAAUUCCAUCCAGGCAUUUUGGGCACCUUUUCUACUCCUGCACCUUGGAGGCCCGGACACAAUCACUGCAUACUCGAUUGAAGAUAACGAGUUGUGGUUAAGGCACUUACUUGGUCUUGUAGUCCAAGUCGGAGUGGCUUUCUAUGUCUUCUCAAAGUCUUGGCCUAGCGGUAUCCUCGCAUUCAUAGCGAUUCCACUGUUCAUUGUUGGCAUUGUAAAGUACGCAGAGAGGACUUGGGUGCUCUGGUCUUCAUGCUCCAAGAGUUUGAAAAACUCU